CGGGCCCACGGCCCGCGGGACAACGGCAGUUUGUUGGGGCCGCGUGGGGCCGCCACCUCCGGAGGUGGGGGCGGGGGCCUUACCCCACCCUGGCACCGGCAGGCGCGGGCGGAUGGGGGGAUGUCGCCUAGAGCCCCCCGGCCGGCCCACAAACUCCCGUCCCCCUUCCGGCUCUGCCUGGACGUCCCUGCGGGCCCCGGGGGAAAGCACCCAACUUCUCCCGCCUCGGCUUCUAGCAGAAACGUGACGGGGCUGGACUUUGAUCGCCGAGGGCUCUCUGCUCUUCAGAGUCUGCUUGGAACGGGAUAAGUGGGAGGGAUGGUGCCAUCCAGGGAAGCUCUGCUGGGACCAGGCACAACUGCCAUUAGGUGCCCCAAGAAAUUACAGGGCUAUGUUUCCACAUCUGUGAAAAAGGAAACAAGACCAAACAGGUUUGGAAACCUCGUCUCUCCCCUCUACUCCACUCUUUCCUAGUUACUGAUCCGUGUCAUGCUUUGCUUUCUCUGACUUCCAACUUCGCCUAAUGCUCUUCUUUCUGCCUGGAAUGCUCUUCCCAUCCUCCUUACCAAGCUAACUCUCAUUUCCUCCUGGAAGUCUUUACUGACUCCUAUUAGACUUGUUUAGAUCCUACUAUUAUGCAUUCAAAAAGAAUGCUAAACUUCCUCUAUCAUAUUAUUGUUAUGGCCUGUGUGUUUUUCAUUGGGGAAAAAAAUCUUAAAUCCAGGUAAGGAUAUUUUGAUCUAUUUGCUUCCAUUGUGUUGUUUAAAUAAAACAAAAACAUUCUAAAUAAACUUGAAGUAGUUAAGUUCCCUUUUCUCUCCCCACUUCCUUCACUCUCUCCCCAA
This 845-nucleotide long non-coding RNA is filed under the name Homo sapiens (human). RNAcentral describes it as "HSALNT0400688". Lineage: Eukaryota; Metazoa; Chordata; Mammalia; Primates; Hominidae. The record is from RNAcentral.